ACGAUGAACACUAGGUGUCGGGGGAAUCGACCCCUUCGGUGUCGUAGCUAACGCGUUAAGUGUUCCGCCUGGGGAGUACGCACGCAAGUGUGAAACUCAAAGGAAUUGACGGGGGCCCGCACAAGCGGUGGAGUAUGUGGUUUAAUUCGAUGCAACGCGAAGAACCUUACCAGGGUUUGACAUCCUGCGAACCUCUUAGAAAUUUGAGGGUGCCUUCGGGAAUGCAGUGACAGGUGGUGCAUGGCUGUCGUCAGCUCGUGUCGUGAGAUGUUGGGUUAAGUCCCGCAACGAGCGCAACCCCCGUUUUUAGUUGCCAGCAUUUAGUUGGGCACUCUAGAAAGACCGCCGGUGAUAAACCGGAGGAAGGUGUGGAUGACGUCAAGUCAUCAUGCCCCUUACACCCUGGGCUACACACGUACUACAAUGCUACGGACAAAGGGCAGCAAACUCGCGAGAGCUAGCAAAUCCCAUAAACCGUGGCUCAGUUCAGAUCGUAGGCGGCAACUCGCCUACGUGAAGUAGGAAUCGCUAGUAAUCGCAGGUCAGCAUACUGCGGUGAAUACGUUCCCGGGCCUUGUACACACCGCCCGUCACACCAUGGAAGUUGGCCAUGCCCGAAGUCGUUACUCCAACCCUUGU
This 639-nucleotide ribosomal RNA is filed under the name uncultured bacterium. RNAcentral describes it as "bacterial SSU rRNA". It matches the Rfam family "Bacterial small subunit ribosomal RNA", at positions 806 to 1444 of the family's 1533-position model. The record is from RNAcentral.